Molecule: long non-coding RNA, 340 nt
Filed under: Daucus carota (carrot)
Lineage: Eukaryota; Viridiplantae; Streptophyta; Magnoliopsida; Apiales; Apiaceae
Description: long non-coding RNA (DCAR_LNC007382)
Source: RNAcentral
UUUUGAUGUGUUUUUAGUGUUUUUCUGUGCAGGUCACGAGUUGAGGUGAUGAAGUGAUUUUCUAUCAUUUUAGGUUGUUUUUGGUGCAUUAUUUGCAAGAAUAGAGAAUUGUGGAUUCAUCACGACUUGGGAUUUUGUGGGUACAUCUUCUACAAACCCUCACGAGAACACACUCGUCCACUAGAGCUAUCUAGGGGUUUAAAGGGCUUGUUGCAUGUGCUAAAUGCAACCGUGAUCACCUACGGAAGUGGUACUAGAGCGAGGAAGGACAUGCACGCGAGAACGAGCUGAAAAACGAAGAAUUGGGCUGCCAGUGGCAGACAGUAGCGCGCCCGCGCUA